CUGCCCCCUCGCAGCCGCCGCCGCAGCCCGCCUGGCUUCCCGUGAGGUCUCCCUGGAAUCGGGAGUGAGAGAAGCAAACUCUGAAGUUGUGCCCGAAGAAAAGUUGCCCGACUAGAGAAGUCGGGGGGAUCCCGAGUGUCGCCACCCGCUCAAUCCUGUUUGGUCCUGGGUUCUUCCUGCUUUUUCUGCAAACCGAGCGGAAGGGCAGGGUUUGCCUAGGAAGCUUGCCGUAGUCUUAUGCAGACAAGGGGAGAAAGGAAACGACACGUCUUCAGAGCGGCACCUCGCCUUGUUCAGUCUUCUCAUCUCCUGGCCAGGGUUGGAAUGGAGGCUGAGGGCGGCUUGAGCAGUGCUGGUGCCGGCUCUCCGUAGUCGUAGCCCCUCCUAAAGAAAACACGUCUAAGCCCUCGUGGUGAAGAACCAAACCCAACAAAAGUUGGAUCUUUUUCGGAGAGGGGCCGGGGGCGCGGAGCCCUGCGACUCCGUUCGCGGAGCGCUCGACAGCGGCGGAGCGCUCGCCGCGGCUGGGACUUGACCUGCAGAGGGCAAUAGUUGGACGCAAAUGCCAACAAAGGCAGCGGGGCUCGCUGGCUCGGCGCCGCGGCCGGGACCCGAGAAUGCUGUGUAGCCCACAUUCAUCUGAGAGGCGAUCGCCGGGGACAUGGGAAGCAGGAGCAGCCGCCGAUGUGUGAAAGCAACGAGACAUGGCCAGCCAGAGGCGCCGGGGUCCCUUCACGGGGUUUGUUAACAUGGUAAUCCGGCACCAGGAGAGAAAGCUGCUUUCUGCUGCCUAGAGCCCAUUCCCCAUCACACAUCAGAUGACUCCCUGGCUUUACACACAGUUGGAGUUCUGCUCGAAACCUGGAUUUAAAGGGAAUCUGUUGCUGCGUAUGACAUCUCUCGCAAGCUCCCAGAGAGAAUUGAUGGAGCAUACAGCUAGGGAAUAGGAUACCAGAGAAGCACAGAGAAAGAAUCCAGGCAAUCACCAGGAUGGGAAGGUUCAGCGUCCACUGGAUACGGGACAAGAUCGCUUGGCAACCCUUGUGGAUUCUCCUUCUUCUGGAGGCGAAUUAUAGUUAUGGAUUUAUUGUCCCGGUGCAGCACUUCCACCAGCAGCAGCAACAGCAGCAGCUUUCUGACUCUCUUCGGUGACGGGUAUUCUUGGGUGGAUAAUACGGAUUACGUUGUUAUUGCUUAAGAAUACGCGUAGUCGAGGAGAGUACCGGCGGCGGGCAGGCAGGCAGGCAGCGCGACCGCCCCCAGCCCACCAGCUGGCUCCUCACCUCCUCUAGUUGCCAAGCCCUACAGCCCAAGUUUCCUGGACUAGCCCACCUUCCUUCCUGCCUUGCCAAAUGACUCAUGGAAAGCUGUUGAUCUUCAGUUUAUGGAGACAAUCUAACAUCAGCAACUUCCUGGGGGGCAGCUACAAGGUAGGGCCACAUCCAACUCCUUCGAGCCCUCUCACCAGCUCAGGUGUGCUACUGACAGGAAAAGCUCGUGACUCCGGCUCCAGAGAGCUACUUGUCGGCUUCCUGGAAACCCUGCAAAGCUGCCCCUGAGACAACUGGGCCUUCCAUCAGCCAGACACACAAAUCACUCACUAAAUAGUUUUGGCUGAGGUUGUUGGACAAAAUCUUCAUAGACAGAGCCAAGAGGACAGGCAAGAAAUAUUUAUCUUCUCUGUGCCACAUGUUGUUUUUUCAUAAUUUCUUCUUUUCUCCUUUUUACACUCCAGGCAUUUUUUUCUUUCUACAUAGGCUAAUAGGAAGAAAUACUGUGGCUUACUCCAGUCAUUUAGUUUAUUUGUUUUAAUUCUAAUUAUGAGCAUUCAAAUAGCAAGUGACAUUUGUUGAUAUAUGUUACACUUCUGAAACACUAGAAAAAAUAUCUGAUCUAUUCUCUGUUAAUGCCUAGGUGACAUUUUAGGAACAGGAACCACCUGGGAAGGGCAUGUGCGGGAUGGGAGCUGUCAGUGGAGUGCAUGGCCGUGAAUCUGGUUUUGAUCUGUCCCUGUGAUUUUCCAGGUGAGCCUCGGACUCUGCCUAUGGUCUGUGCUCCCAGAUGACAGCCCCAUGAUGGCAGAUGGAGGGACAUCCUGGCACUGCAUCCUUUGCUGCUCCCAGAGCUGCCACACGCCAUGGGACCCCAGCUGCUGGAUGCCUGACCCAGCUGGACUGCUGCUGGAGAUGUGCUGGGGCUGGCUCAGCCCUGCUUGCUGCUGCCUGUCUGCCUUAUCCUUCUGAGUUAUGCCCCAGCCCGCUCCUGCCCUGUUGUGCUGCUGCCUCCAGGCUGUGUUGAGUUUUCAAUUAUCACAAUAUACAGUGCAGAUGCUAUGCAAAACAGCCAGUGAGGCUGAGCACGCUGAACUCAGGAGAAUCACAGUUAAAUAAAAGUACUGCUAUGAUACCAGGAGGCUGAUUGGAACCACAAGAUACCAGUGCUGUAUCCUGUGGCUUUUAUGUUGGUAGAUGUAGAUUUCAGCCAUUAGAGUCUAGCUAUCCAACAGAUAACAACUAGAGGAAAUGGAUCUGGGUAUCUUCACUUGUGAGUAACUGAUUCACAUUUGCCAUUAAAUUCAGAACCUGGUAAACUGCAGAAGAAAGAAAACAUUUGAGAUACCUACAAAUACAUCCAGGCAUGUACUGUUGGGUAGCAUCUAACUGUGUGCAACUUAAACUCCCUGAACACAAAAUACACUUAAAGUGGUACAUCAAGAGAGCUCUGACUUCAGAGAAACAAUGUGUGGUUACUUGUCAACCCCAAAUUCAGGCACGCAAAUAACCAGCAAGGGUAGGUCUCAACUUCUCUAUUUGUACAUGCAGUAACAAGCUCCCAGAUGAUAAUGAUAUUGUGAUAUCUAUGUGGGGGUAAAAGACUAUGACGAAAGAGAAAGAAAUAAGCAAUAAAUACAAUAAUGUCAAACUUUCCUGUUAUUAACUUCUAGAAAAGCCCAACAGCUGGAAUUUUAAAAUGUUUUACAUAGACAAAUGUAAAGAGAACAACACAUCGAGUGUGGUUUUUUCCAAAGGAAAAUGAAAUAGGCAUACAGAGAAAAUUAUUAUAUUUAGUACUCUCAGGGCAAAUUCUAGUUAAGGACUACGAAAUAAUUUGAAAAUAUUAAUGAUUUAGCCUCACAGCUAGCUUUUAGGGAGAUAAUAAUGAUAAUUAUUACUGUAAAUAAAUAGUAUUAUUAUCAUUCUUAUUCAGAAGAAUGAAGUAUUGAUGCAUAGAAAAUUCCGUAUUUGUCCAAAAUACAGAAUAUAUUUGUUUGCGUUUUACUACUAUAACCAUCCUUCUCAAGAACUAUUGUAUAUAUUAGGAUUAUCCUUUUCCAAAUACUCUUUGAUAUACUGUUCAGUUUAUCAGUUCUAAAACCCAACCAACCAAGCUUCCUUGUGAAACAGUGCCAGUCAACAUCUCCAUUUGCAUGUGAAUUCUCUAGCAGCAAGUCCUGGUUAAAAAAAAAAGAAAAAAAAAAAAAAAAGGAAUCAUGAAAAUCAGUACAAAAAAAUCUGUCAAGGCCCCAUCUGUGACUGGGUAUCAGAAUAUCACCAAGAAGCUCUGAGGAACAAAGUUCAUUCCAAGUCUAACACAUAGAGGAUUUUGGUCGAUGAAAUUAAUUCAGGCAGGGAGAAAUCAGAGUGCAUACCAUGAAAAACUCUGUUCCUCCACUGAGGAUCAAAGAAAAGAGGCAUCAUUGUGUGUGGUCUUGGGUUUGGUGCACAAAGCCAUGCUUAAACACGACAAUAAUCAGCAUGCUCAUGUCUUGUUUUGAUAGCCAGCUGCUCCUCUGAGGAGAGCCAGGGAAUGAGGGACCUCUGGUCCUGGCAAGAUGAGGACUCCGAUUGCAUGUGAUUGCUGCAAAAAGCAAGAUUUACAGCCAGCUACCUGAAGCAGAAUGGAAACAAAAUCAUAGUCUCCACCCUGGCCUUGAAAAUCCCUCUACAAACAUGUUUAUUUCCUUCUGAAUGGGAAUAUGUAAAGGCUGGGGACACUUAUUUGUAGGCUAUUUUUAUAUCUCCUCUUCAGGAUCUGAAUCUUGCAUAUUAAUGAACUACAGGAAAUAGGAAAACCAAACAUUAACACCAUUCUAAUGCAGCAUACUAUUUUUCUUUCCCUUUUUUAAACUGUUAGAGUAUGCAAAUGUUCAGUUAACUGGUCCUCAUGUUUUCUCUUUAUUGAAUUGCUUUCACUAUGGCAAAUAAAUAUUCAUAAAGAAAUGUGGACAAUAAAUCAUUUCAAAUAGUUCAAAGCCA
Molecule: long non-coding RNA, 4256 nt
Organism: Melozone crissalis (California towhee)
Lineage: Eukaryota; Metazoa; Chordata; Aves; Passeriformes; Passerellidae
Exons: 5
Source: RefSeq, a predicted model, not a curated record